GCUGAAUUCAGAUGGUGCCAUAGA
This 24-nucleotide microRNA is filed under the name Danio rerio (zebrafish). RNAcentral's name for it is "Dre-Mir-29-P1d1_5p (mature (guide))". The record is from RNAcentral. RNAcentral also lists the same sequence under 1 other name. Lineage: Eukaryota; Metazoa; Chordata; Actinopteri; Cypriniformes; Danionidae.